UACGUAGGCAGCAAGCGUUGUUCGGAAUUACUGGGCGUAAAGAGUGUGUAGGCGGUGCUCCAAGUCUGGUGUGAAAUCUCCCGGCUUAACUGGGAGGGUGCAUUAGAAACUGGAAUGCUAGAGGAUGGGAGAGGUAAGCGGAAUUCCUGGUGUAGCGGUGAAAUGCGUAGAUAUCAGGAGGAACACCUGUGGUGUAGACAGCUUACUGGACCAUUUCUGACGCUGAGACACAAAAGCGUGGGUAGCAAACAGG
Molecule: ribosomal RNA, 253 nt
Filed under: uncultured bacterium
Lineage: Bacteria
Description: partial 16S ribosomal RNA
Rfam family: Bacterial small subunit ribosomal RNA
Source: RNAcentral